GCCACCGUAGCUCAGUUGGCCAGAGCAGCGGUUUUGUAAACCGCAGGUCGACGGUUCGAGUCCGUCCGGUGGCU
Molecule: transfer RNA, 74 nt
Filed under: Phycisphaerales bacterium
Lineage: Bacteria; Pseudomonadati; Planctomycetota; Phycisphaerae; Phycisphaerales
Description: tRNA-Thr
Rfam family: tRNA
About the family: Transfer RNA (tRNA) molecules are approximately 80 nucleotides in length. Their secondary structure includes four short double-helical elements and three loops (D, anti-codon, and T loops).
Source: RNAcentral